This 735-nucleotide long non-coding RNA is filed under the name Homo sapiens (human). RNAcentral's name for it is "non-protein coding lnc-SH3GL2-4:1". Lineage: Eukaryota; Metazoa; Chordata; Mammalia; Primates; Hominidae. The record is from RNAcentral.
UGCACCACUGCAAACCACAGUGGUUGAAGGAAUGAGAAACUGUAUCUUAAAAAAAAAAAAAAAAAAAAAAAGGAUGAUUUGAGAUUCUCUAAGUUCCCUUCAUUCAAACUACUUCACAGAGGCAGAAGCCAGGAAGGCAAGAAGGCAGGAAGACAGGAAGGUAGGAAGGCAAACAGGCAAAAGGGAAAGGAAAAGAAAAAGAUAAAGAAAAAAAGAAAAGAAAGUAAAAGAGGCAGCAGAGGCUAAAGAAGCCAGCCAGCUCUAGAAAGGAUUCACAAAAAUGAGAAAUACCCUCAGGUCUCUUCAGCCUGAUGGCUGCCCUGGCUGUUCCCAGGAUAAUUUGACAAGAACCAGAAACAAAGAGUAUGAUCUAAAUCAGAAGUUAGGAAGCCAGUGUGGUAUAAAUGGACUAGUUCACUAUAGAAGACAGUGUUUAAGGAACUGAAUUGAUUGGCAUUGUGAAACUGUAGGUGAGUUCCUUAGUCUUUCUAGCCUAUUUUUUUUUUUUUCUAGUGCUGCAGGGGUGUGGAGAAAUUGGCAGGAGCAAGAUGACAAAGCAGUGAGAAGGGACAGUGAGGAGACGUGUAUUCCCACUAUUUGGUGUGCUGAGCCAAUGUGAGUUCACCAUAGAUCACAUGGACACCAAAGAAUGUGGCUGGGGUUGAACCAUCUUGCAAAAAUUCUUUCCUUCCUGGCCCCACAAAGCUAAUAGCCAUGGUAGAGGCUUGGGAUAGG